This 27-nucleotide non-coding RNA is filed under the name Mus musculus (house mouse). Lineage: Eukaryota; Metazoa; Chordata; Mammalia; Rodentia; Muridae. The record is from RNAcentral.
UUUUACAUGUGUGCUAGGAGGUUGAGU